GUACGUGUAGCUCAGCUGGAUAGAGCGUCUGGCUACGGACCAGAAGGUCGUGGGUUCAAAUCCUGUCACGUACA
This 74-nucleotide transfer RNA is filed under the name Lachnospiraceae bacterium OttesenSCG-928-D06. RNAcentral's name for it is "tRNA-Arg". It matches the Rfam family "tRNA". From Rfam's summary of the family: Transfer RNA (tRNA) molecules are approximately 80 nucleotides in length. Their secondary structure includes four short double-helical elements and three loops (D, anti-codon, and T loops). The record is from RNAcentral. Lineage: Bacteria; Bacillati; Bacillota; Clostridia; Lachnospirales; Lachnospiraceae.